UCUUAAAUUCCUAAAAUCAAUCACUUAUGUUAAUUUUUUAAGGCUAUAUUGUUUCACGUAGUGAUUGAAAUCUAUUUAUAUUGUAUCUAAAUUAAUAAAGUUAUAUGUAAUAGGUCCAUGGCUACUCUCAAAGGAUUUCGAUUCAUAUGUUUUAUAACUGCGCUUGUUGGAAUAACUGGUCUUACUUUAUAUCCGAUAGUUAUUAAACCAUUGAUUAAUGUUGAUGACUACAGUGAGUUUUUUAUUAACACAAGUUAGAGUUCGGCUUUUCCGAAUCUUAAAUACCCUAUACCAAACAAUUGAGAAGAUUGCACCACUGGAAAGACCAAAAGAAGACAUAAUGUUUAAACUGCUUGUUAAAAGGAAGAUUUCUUUUCAAGUCAUGUGUUUGAUUUAUGAUUGUAAUAAACCAUAAUACAUAUUCAUCUUUAAAGUUUAUUUAUUUUUUUUAUUUACACGAAUCUUUUUGAUUAAAGAAGAAAAUAAAAAUUACUUGUCUCGCUCGUUAAGA
RNA transcript from Lucilia cuprina (Australian sheep blowfly), 511 nucleotides. RefSeq lists it as uncharacterized. NCBI's taxonomy places the organism in Eukaryota, Metazoa, Arthropoda, Insecta, Diptera, Calliphoridae. The record is from RefSeq and is a predicted model, not a curated record. The transcript has 3 exons.